UUCUGGUUCGAUUGCCCUGAGUGUUGUGCUGCCUUUCGCGCCAUGUGCCCAGUUCUUUGGUUGCCACCGCAUCCAUCCGUUUGUUUUGGUAGUUGAGAGAGAGGCCGGGGUAGAGAUUUGUUCUGUUUCUGGUCUCUUCCACCGAUUCACUCUGUUUUUUUGUUUUGUUUUGGAUUUUUGUCUGAGCUUGUCAUUCAGCCUGUGUACAAUGUCCAUAUAAGUUUUUCAUGUUUUUAAUCAAACAUCACUCCACAGAGACGGUGCAGUUUUGCACUACGGUUAGGUUCAGAAUUCCCGUGAGGAAUGGGAAUUGAAGUUUGAGAAAGGGAAAGAGGUGGUGUUGAUUUGAUGAGUUUGAAUUUCUGCUGAGCAUUUGCUAGAUGUAUGUAUGAAGAAUGUGGGAUUAGGUGAUUUAAAGCCACGCAAAAGCUACCAUUUCCCUCAAGGAAGCUGAAGGAUUCUAGCCAUGUAAUUGCAUACCUAAUCCUCUGCACAGGGGUUUAGUUCUCACUAAUAGUUGUGAGAAAGCUUUUCUGAAGCAGCCCCAAGUAUUCUUGAGUUCAAAGUAUACAGGUAAGAGACCUGGAAAGGGAGGCAACCGAUUCUGGAAGAGUAUUGAGCUGUGCUAAAGACCCCAGGGAUGCUAUUGAAGAAGACCGCAGUUCGGUUGAAGAACUGUAGCAAGUCUAACGUAGCUUUCAAGUUUCGAACUACUGUAUUGAAAAGCUGUUACAUGCAUCCUCCGGGUGGUAUCCUUGCUCCAAGAGAGAUUCUAAUUGUGACUGUUGCUAGCUGCCAGUUAAAUAUUCAUACAAGACCAGAAGGACAUGCUACAAAUCUUUCCAACAAGUGUGGUGAAACUAUGGAACGAGACAUAUGGAGUCACUACUGCUACAUACUGCCUACUCGAUGGAGAACACUGAACUUUGGUUAACACAUUUACUAGACUUCGUAGUCCAGGUUGGACUGGCUUUCUAUGUCUUUAUAUGGAUAGCUAGCACUUACCAUCUACUGUUAGUUAUACCAGUGUUUGUUGCUGGAGUUAUCAAGUAUGGAGAGAGGACUUGGGUCCUGCAGUCUACGAGCAGCAAGAAGCUUGCUGACUCCCUGCUUCUACCUUCUUAUCCUAGGAAUAAUUGUGCUAAUUUUGAGGAGAAAUAUAGCACUAUAAAAGCUUGAGGCCAGGAGGUAGAGUUUUGGAGUACACUUACUGAAGAUGGUGAUGGGAGUCCGAACCAAAAUGAUCGGAAAAGGCUACGUCCUCCAAGUCGUUCCAAAACAUUCAAUAUUGAAACCAGCUAUGCUGCAAAAAUUCCGAGGUAUUCAGCUUUACCUCCUCAUCUCAUUACGAUGAAACUAAAUGUGAGACAAUGUUACCAGGGCCACCAGUGAUACUAAUGCAUCUCAGUAUGAAUAUCAGAUCACAAAUUACUGAUACAUAUUUCAAGAACUGAAGCUUUGCAGUCACUUGGUAAUUUGUUUUGUUUUUCCUACUUUUGCCAUGGUAACUAAUUCAGAUGUAAACACCAGGACAGAUUUAAUGGGUUGAUCUUUGCACCAUUUUCUUUUCCUUCUAUUGUGUUUUUUGGUUGCCGACAAGGUUGAAAUCAGAUACUACGUCAAAAGAAAUUUUAUCAAUUUUCAAGACACUACUAAUAUCCUAACCUGGUUCUUUGGACAGUUCUGAGAGGAAUGCAUCUGCAGACUGGCUUUUUUCACCUUGAGGCAAAUUAAAGCUGCCACUAAUAACUUUGAUCCUGUAAACAACAUUGGGGAAGGCAGUUUUGGUUGUGUCGACAAGGUCUAUGCGAAUUCGUGGACUGUAAUUUACAUACCUUUGGACAAUGUGGGAAUGUGGAAUGUGAGAUAUGAGAAUUGGGCCUGACAAUACUUAGGCCAGCAGUUCUAUCUUCGUGUAUACUUCUGUAUAAUCACAUUUUACCUAUUUAAUUCUAAAAUUCUAAGCACACCAAGCAGCUUUUGACAGAAGAUGAAACUUCAGCGUUCUCGAGUCUCCAAUCGCUCUAAGCAUCGUUGAUUCUGAAUCAGAAAAUGCGACAGUGCCUUGGUUAUAUCUAGGCUGACCAGUUUAUUGUUGCAAUCAGAGAAACUUUUGGGAAUUUGAUGAUGUGCUUUAACCUGGUUGUCAUUGUUUGUCUUGGUGUUUGGGUAGCGCAGUAGCUGGUCAUCUCUUUCUACGAGUGCAGGAAUUGGAUGUUCGCUGAAACAAAGACCGAGGUUCAUGUGCUUCAGUCCAUUUGGGAUCUUUACUUGGUUUUCCAGAGCAUUUUUCUCAGUUGUAUUUGCACGUUGUUUUGUGCUAUUUCAUUUUCAGUUUCAUGUUCAUUGUAAUUUUUCUUUCAUAAGAGGUAAGGCUAAUAUGUCCCCCUCUUCCAACCGUAGUUUGUUUCUUUAGACCAAAAAAAACUAUAGUUUGUUUCUUUUGUAUACAAAAAAAAUGGAGUACUUACUUUUCUUA
Molecule: long non-coding RNA, 2479 nt
Organism: Rosa chinensis
Lineage: Eukaryota; Viridiplantae; Streptophyta; Magnoliopsida; Rosales; Rosaceae
Exons: 12
Source: RefSeq, a predicted model, not a curated record